RNAcentral lists this long non-coding RNA (2197 nucleotides) under Olea europaea subsp. europaea. Lineage: Eukaryota; Viridiplantae; Streptophyta; Magnoliopsida; Lamiales; Oleaceae. The record is from RNAcentral.
CAUAUUGGAAUGAUAAAAUUAAUGAGCCUGGUAAUUUGUUGUUUGAAUUGCACAUUUGCAUAUGAACCUUUAUUUAAUAGUAACAUAUUCAGGUAAUAAUAUGAUUAUGCAGAAGCAAAUAUUUGGAAGCCAUUUGUGCCAACUUAUACUAAAAUAUGAACGUGUUUUAUCCUUUAGCUAUAAUUCAUUUCAUUUGGGAUUAACUAUGUAAUGCAUCUAGCAACACCCUGAAAUCUUGGGUGCCUGUAGCCGCAUUUAGCUAGCCCCUUAAGCUUCCCACGUCGAUACCAGAAGGACUACAACUACCUAGGGGAUGUCAAAUGGGCUGAGCCACCCAGGCCUUGCUCGUCCCAGUUGGAGGGUAAAUAUGGAUGCUUGUUCAUGAAACUGUAAGGCAAUUCAUUAUAUGACGGAGUUCUAAUAGUCCUCAUUUUUCCAAGCGUCGUAGAAAGGCUAAUUUGGUACAUUGAGAUAGAUUGAAUUUGAUAGUGAACAGAAAUAUUGAGGGAGAUGAUUGAUCAGGGCCCUUGAUAAAAUUGAAUUUAUAGUUACUGAUGUCCUGAAAUUGAUAUCAAUUAUGGGUGACGGCAAUUAUUUUAUCAAGUUUUGCUCAUAGUCUCCUUUCGUUCUUCUUAGCUUUUAGGUUCCCGGUCUGGGAAAAAUGUGGCAUAUGCAUCUCUUUUUUUGUCGAGUUGUCAUAUGGUUCGCACGGGUGUUUGUUUUUUUAGUCCAAAUUCACCUUGAUCAAAGAUUCAUCAUCCAAAUUAUUUAAAUGUUCUUCGUGCUUUUUUUUUUUUCCAUUCUCGUACUCCACCACAACGCCUUGAAUGUCAGAUGAAUGAUCCCACUUUCUGGAGAAAAACAAGUUUAUUGGGGUCUCUUGACUCCAAAAGUUUUGUCUUGCACUUGUAAUUCCAGCAACAUACUUGAACUCCUCGCACAAUUUACAGAUCAUGUGCUGAAACUUUGUUGAAAUAUUUUUUAUAGCAUUUUCAUCAUCUGUCUCUUAAACAUCGGAUUUAAACACAACUAGAUCGAUUGUAGGAGUGUAUUAAAUUAGACGCUACACGGGUAAUAACUGAGGUUGUGACUCAUAUUCAAAUGUCAUCAUCAACGGUGAAAUCCCAUUUAGGAUACUGUAUACAUGUGAGUUUCCAAUUACGUGAUUAUGAUGCUAGCAUAUAGGUUCUAAAUCAUAACCGUUUGUUUUUUAUUGGUGAGAUGGCUGUGAUUGCAAUUAGGUGACACUAAAUAGCCUAUGCUCUAGUCUUCUCUUUCUUUGAAAAAGAUAAGUAACUUGUUUAUUGAAUAAUUAAAGAGAGUGCAUUUCGUUUCUAUAUGGAUAUGUCAACAGCUUUAUGCCCUUGAGGAUCUAGAUUAAUGAUAUUGUGCAUGAACUUAUCUGAUAAUAUCUUCUGUAACUUCCACCUGAGGUGUGAAGUGCAAGGUCAAGUUUACGUCUGUACAGAUCAACUCCAACAUCGCCCCCCCAGGGCACAUUCGAGUUGGUGGAACAAUCACUUCGUUGGGACGCUGGAAGCAAGGGUGGAGAGUUCGAUUCCUGGAGUUAACACUGGGAGCCAUAUGGAGAGGAAGCCAUUGGUGUGAACAAACGCCCAGUGAGGAAAGCUUUCUUUGCGGAAAGAGUCCAAAUGAGUUGUGGGAACCUGGGAGCCAACAAGGGCACAUCCUGCGAUUUACCUCCCUGAGCUGCUGAGGGGCCGGAGGUUUAGGGACAAGGAUCUAGUCGGACGCAAGCCCGGACACCUUGUAAAAAAAAAAAAAAAAAAAAAAAAAAAAAAAAAAGAUCAACUCCAACAUCGACUCUAAGCUAAUUCAGAAAUAUCUUUGGACAAUAGUCUAUAUAGGCGUAGGUCAUGCUAGCUUCACAACUCAUUUUACUUCCACAAAUGAGUAGUUUGAUGACACAAGUAGGUUAUAUAGUUUGAAUUGUGCAUGUAUUUUUAUAGCAGAAAAAUUAAAUCUGAACUUCCUAAUCGAGUCAAGUGGAAUCGAGCUCAACUUGAUGAAUCAAGUUAGGUAAGGUUAAGAAUUUAUGGGCAUUGAUCAUUCGAUCCUACAUCUCUUCAAAAAUUAAUUAGGCUAGGUAGUUGUAAGAAUUAAUUAAUAUGAUUUGAAGCUAUGCUAAAUUGACUAGAGGGUACGCAAAGGUCAAACAUAUUAUAGAAGAAAGGAG